GUUGACCUCUUUUCUCUGAAAAUUUUGAUGAAGUAGAGCUUUUUGCUACGUAAAUGGACGGAACUAUUACUUAUUGUUGGUUGUGCAUUGCUAUUUUAUCUAAUAUGAGUUGGUGGAGAGUUUUGAAGUUGUUUUCAGGAUUUUUGCAAAUAAUAGUUGGUUCUGUUGCUGCUUAGUGAGAAGGUGUUGCUGCAAAAAAGCUAUUAGUUUUUAUUUUCUUUAUUAUAUAACCAUAUGAAGGAUACCGUGUGUCAUCGAAAACCUACGUUUACUUACUACUAUAACUACCCCUCAAUCCCGAACAAGUUGGGUCGGCGAUAUGAUUCCUCACUUUUCCUUUUAACCUCAACUCAUGAAACUUAAGUUCACUGGUGUUUUUAAUAUGUUUAUUAAUGAACUUUUACUGUGACUAGUUAUAGCUUGUUCCUUUACGACUCAAUUUAUACAAAAGGCAGUGAGCCAGUUCUCUUAUUUUUACACUAAUGAUUAAGCAAAUCUAUGUGUCAGAAUAUAUGCAUUCUGAGAUUGCAAGCCCCUAAAACAGCCAAAUUAUUUUCUCUUCAUGCGCUCCCUCCUCAACAUCAGGCCUAAUCAUCCAAUCCACUCCAACAGGCUCGGUUUUGUAAUCAGAGCAGCUUCAUCGCUGUCAUCAUGUCAACUGAUUGGUGUGGUGGUGCCUAUCCUCUGCUAGUUGUAACAGCAGUUCUUAUUGGAAUUUACCUUAAUCCGAAAACCCUAAUAUGGAGAUGUUGGUACAACGAUCUUCUUAUCGGUUCCCUAUCCUUUUGCUUAGGCCUUACUUUGGCCUGAAAUGAAGCCCACAUGCCUUUUCAUGUGGUCAAGGUCGUCAUUUCUGUGUCUCACCUGGCAUUGAUCCUGUAGGAGAUUGGAUAGAACGAGGAGCCAUAGGCCAUCGAAAUUCCAUGCACCUCUUCAUUUGACCAAGCUCUUUCAUUGGGGUGUUCAAAUCCUUGUCUUAUAUCCGACUUGAGCCAGGCCUUGAUCCUCAUCUUGAACACUGGAAAAGAACAUUUUAGUUAAAGACUUGAUGAUAUUCAUGUUAUACUAGGGAUUAGUAUAAUAGCUCACCAGCGAGCACAUCCUACCCUGUCCUUGGUAUAGCUUUUACAUAGCUGCUAUCACUUUUUAGUUUUCUUUUUAACAAGGUAACAGAAUCUGUAUAUAAAUCAUCAGCACAAAGUCAUUAUUUUGUAUAGAGACUUGGAGUAAACUAAGUUAUGCUUAGUAAAUUUACUAAGCAUAACUUAGUUUACUCCAAGUCUAUACAAAAUAGAAUGAUUGAUUCAUACACCUAUCAUUUAGCAUCAACCUACAUUUAAAAGUGGAACUUUUGCUGAUUUAUCAAGUAGUCUAAAUGUUUUAUAGACUGCACCAGCAAGGCAAGUUCUUUUUGCUGCCACUUCACGCCAUCUUGCUCUAUAAGAUACCUCUUGAGUUCUGCCUCGAAGAUCUCUUUCCGACAUCUCAAUCCAGAAAAUUUCACCGUUUUCAGAUUAUGUUGCUUUUACAAAGAUAAGAGAACUAAUUAAGAACUGCAAAAUAGGUUGAAGGAGCAGAUGAAUAGAGAUUUAUAAGAUUUUUUCAAAAUCUAGUAUCUAGUUUGGUGUCAAAGACCGCAACCUGGGCAAGGUUAUUUGAAUUUUAGCGGGUGGACUGGUUUACAGGCUGAUGACUCUCAAGAGUGAGCUGCUAGAAGUAGAAAUUUUGUGAUUUGGAAGAUAUUGCGAUAUUUAUGGUGCUUUUUUUGCAAUAUGGAAAGGCUGUAGGUUCAGGAUAGUGGCAAUCAAUGGUUGAUAGCUUAACUUAAGAACAAAUAAUGCUUUGAAAUUAUUCUUUGGCUCUAUUAUUUUACGGUUGACUUGGCUUGACUAGGUGAUCUAGAACUCAUGUGAAGCAUUCAUGUGAGGUCAGGUUGUCUAUUUAUCCAUUGAAUUAAAAAAAAAUUUAUGCAUCCAUGUGCUCCCCUCGUCUUUCUCCACCUUUUUCUGUUCACAUUUCUAUGAGUCUGCUGUUUAUGGUACUGGCAUUGUAGGUUUCUCUCUUGCUUGCGUAGCUUUCUUCUGUCUUUCUACUCCGUCCAGAUGGGUCAGCUUUGUCUUGCAUAUUGACCAGAGGCUGGGUCUAUGGUGGAUUUGAAUCUGACCAAUCUUCCACCUCGUUUCCCAACAGAAACUUAGUAAAAAUGUUUUCCAUGAUACUGUCAGCGAUUGGUAAACAGAAAUAUCUUCAUGAUAUCCUUUCCGCCGGUGUUCAUCUUAUAAAGGAUUGUUAAGACAAUUUUCUCAUGAAAUUAGGCGAGGCCUUUGCUUACCCAGGCUCUGGAUGAUGGCAACUUUGAUACUCUGGCUGAUCCAAGAUUGGACAAGAAUUAUGACACUACUGAAAUGACCAGAAUGGUCACUUGUGCUGCUGUAUGUGUGCGCCAUCUGGCACGUCGCAGGCCUCGUAUGAGUCAGGUACCUUCUACUUCUGCAAGCUUAGUUUUAUGCCUACACCGUAACUGCAUCAUUACCUUUAGAUUUUUAUGUGGGAAAGGGAACUAUCUGAAGUUAGGUAGUAAGGUUAACUUCCUUUCAUGACAAAAGGUUGUACCGAUUUAUAUUUAAGUCUUUUUGCUUAUUUUUUAUACCAAAAAGUUUAGUUAUUUGCUCUCUGACACCUAAUCUGGUUUCUGAUACUUGUCGCCUAAUAAACAUUUUUGUCCUAUUAAAAGUAUACUCUACCAGUUCCUACUGCGUGGUCAGGUGCCGCCUCUAUUUGUUUCCUUUCACAAUUAGCACAUCACAAGAUGUAGAUUAAUUAUUAAAAGGAGUUUAUACUUCAUAUUUGUAGUUUACCUUUCUACAAGCAUUCCUCAAUUAUCCUGAACCUUGUUCUUUAUAAACUCUCGGAACAACAUUGUGUUCUUUAUGGGUAUUAACAAUUAAAAGAAGCCCCCCCCCCCCGGGCGCGCGCGCGAUAGUAUCAUACUUGCUUUCCUGUUCCAUUCUGUUUCAGCUUGCGUUAGCUCCACGGGAGCUAGACUAUACAAUUAAAAUAACUUGGGUGUACAAUCAUCUUUGUUGAUCACAGGAUGGUUUCACUAUAUUCAACGAUUUAAGAAGCAUCUGAAAUAUACCAAUUUUUCUUUUAGCUCCAGAAAUAUUAAGCCAAAGUAAUUUUUACUUUGUUUUUUGAGAUCUUAAGUUGGAAACUUAGUAGGCGUUUUGCCAUGUUUCAUUGUGAACAUAUAAAAAAAGAAAUUGUUUUCAAAGUGAAAAAUGAUAUUUUUUCAUGGCCAAACUCCCCCUUUGUCUCCUCUCUCUAGUCUCUUCUUUGCCCCGGGGGGAAUUCUAUAUUUACUGUCAACGAAGACUUGGCUUGGCUCAAUAUUCAGUGUUGCAACUUUCUUAUGCAGAUUGUCAGAGCUUUAGAAGGAAAUUUACCUCUGGAUGAGUUAAAUGAAGGACUUAGACCUGGACAUAGUGGCAUACAUGAAUCUUAUGGAAGCUCGGAUUUUGACGCUGCUCAGUACAAAGAAGACCUUAAGAAAUUUAGAAAGAUGGCACUAGAAAGCAGCCAGGCACAGAAUUCUAGUGAAUGCAGCGGGCCUACAAGCGAAUUUGGCCCGCAUCCUUCCGGUUCAAGUAGUGAAGGCCUAAGAACAACUCAAGGUACACGCUCUAGUGUCGAAGGCCGUAGAGAAAUUAGAAUAGAGUAGAAGGCAGCUAGGAAGCAGAAAAGAGUGAUUUUUUCGAACGGAGAGGAGCAAUGUAAUAUCGAACUCUUCUCAGAAGUUGUUGGAUUUGGUAGUUUUGAUUAGAGAAUUGUUGAAUUUGGCAUACCUUUCAUAUGCCACUGCUCUUUGUAAUUAUCAUUUAAUCUAGGUGCUGUUGCAGAUUUUGUAAUGUUCCUUAUUCAGUUCUUGAAAAGUUAUAUGUAAAGAAAGAAUCAUUAAAAACAAUGUUGGAAGUCAUGAAAUUAUUCACUUCGUACUGGUUUACCUUAUUAUAAACUGGAUAUUACAAUUAUAUAUUACCUUGGCGGGUUUUCUGAUCGUUCAAACAGUUUCCAUAGGGUUCGUGUCUGGGUCAAGGGGAUGGGUGACAUGAACCCUCUUCCUCCGGUAAGAGCUAUCUAACCUCUGUUGUCUUGCGAUAACCUAGUCUUACUUGCUGUUACCUCCCUGCCUGGUUUCCUUUCUUUUUUGAGAAUACCUGCCCUGCUGCCUCUGCUCUCGUUCGGACCCCGGGAAUCCCUUCCUUUUGGCUAAGGUCUUUAUUUACCCUUUUUCAUUUCCCCCUCAAAACAAAAAAUUCACAAACACUACUAGAACGGCAUGACAACAAUACCAUAAGCCUCUGCUCUCGUUCAGGCACCGGAAUCCCUUCCUUUUUGCUAAGAUUUUUAUUUACCUUUUUUCAUUCCACCGUCAAAACAAAAAAUUUACAAACACUACUGAAUCGGCACGAUAACAAUGCCAUUAUAGAUAUACUUACCGACAAGAGAGAGCGAGAAUCCAUUGUGUCUGUUAACACAGAAUCAUACUAUAAUUAACCUUAACAGUCAAUUAAAGUGAGAAGGCAUGUCACUUAAUCACGAUCAAGUUGUAAAAGAUGUGGUCUUGAUUUUCUGAUUUGGUGUAGUUACAAACUUUACUUUGUUUCCAAUGGCACAAGGCUUGGAAGCCUAAUGGAG
This 4698-nucleotide long non-coding RNA is filed under the name Capsicum annuum. Its description in RNAcentral is "long non-coding RNA (CANN_LNC003918)". Lineage: Eukaryota; Viridiplantae; Streptophyta; Magnoliopsida; Solanales; Solanaceae. The record is from RNAcentral.